Non-coding RNA from Meleagris gallopavo (turkey), 1046 nucleotides. NCBI's taxonomy places the organism in Eukaryota, Metazoa, Chordata, Aves, Galliformes, Phasianidae. The record is from RefSeq and is a predicted model, not a curated record.
GAACAUCCAGUGCUUCUGCUAGCAUCAGAGCGUGCCUCCAGAAUGAGUUGUCUGAGGUCACAAUGUUUUUGGCAGUAUUUCGAACAAGACCCUAAUCUCCUGAGUCCUGGAGCUCUCUCGUGGGUGAGGAACUACGAUCAAGGCUUUGUAGUUGUAAUCAAACAGAAGUGAUUGUAGCGAGAACACAACAUAUGGAAAAGCAAGAGAGAAUUGGAUAGGACUUGGGACAGGUACCCCUGGGCUAUCUGUCUUUUAUGAUACUUCUAACACACCAAUGAUACAAGCUAUGGCUACCUUGGAACUAAGGCUGGGUCACAGGAGGCUGCAAUGUGGAAAUUACAAAGUAUUAAAAAAAGAUUUUAUGUCCCUUGGGAAGCUGUUGAAGAGAUCAGGAGCACAGGUAGUGUUCUCCUUAAUCCUCCUGGUUAGAGACUGACUUGGGCAGGAGGAGAACAGACCAGCUGAAUGAAUGGCUGUGUGGAUGGUAUCAUGCUCAGGUAUUAUAAUCUUGCACGCUCCUUCAAGAGACCGGGCAUGCUGAUGUCAGAUGGGAUGCAACUGACCAAGAAGGGAAUGAAUGUACUGGGCAGCAAGCUGGCGGGGUUUAUCACCAGAGCUUUAAACUAUAUCUGAUGGGGAAAAGAGAUGUACCUCUGAGUGAUAGAGAGGAGCCAGGGAACUCUGUCACUUUAGGAAGCAGGGGGGGAAAUCCUCAGAUUUGUCCCAGAGGAAUUUAGGAGGGCUCUUCCAAGAAAAUGGCAUGGCUGUCAGCUGCAAACAAGUGAUCAGCAUUCUGAUUUUCUCUUUCAGUGCUUCUGUAAUGUCACAAGAGAAACCAUUAUGUGAUACCAAGGAUUCACAAGUUUCAUUAUUCAUGAUGUGGAAGACAUAUCAUUGUGUAAAAAUUAGUAGCUUAAGAUGUAAUAGGUCAUCCAAAUAAUAAUUCCCAUGGCACUGUAGCUGGAAUACUGUUUCCACUUUAUUUUAGAGAGUAGCAGAUUUUUGUUAUUUCAUUUAAAGACUCUCUGACAGCAUUUUAGCCUCUG